CUUUUGAUGUAUCACUAGACCUUGUGAGCACACAGUUUAAAAAUCUUGGGAUUUCUGGAUAUAAAUAUUGCACUGUUGAUUUUUAUAAAGAGAGCCUCCUUUUACUCGACAAGACUGAUGCAGAGUCGUACUAAGAGAAAGAACAGGGCAGUAGCGUCCUAUGCCUGAAGUGCCUGAUGUUUCGGUGUAUUUAGUUGACAUGCCUGAUGUCACUAUUUAUUAUUCUUCAGCUUUUGGAAAACUUUAAUGGAACUAAUGGAAGUAUCUAGUUACAAAUUUCAAUUACCUUUGCAGUUUGAAACUCUGCACCAGUUUCCAUGAAAUGCUUUUGCAGUUUUCUGUUUCAUUUUUAUUGCAUAGUUUUCCUGAGCUGAACAAUUGACAGCUGAAUCCACUUUUAAUUAAGUGAUGAAGGUGAUUUGAAAUUGUACCCUCUUUUAGUUAACUGUAUGCCUGCAACGCCUUCUCCAAUGGCCCUCAUUCGAUUGCAACUUGCAAACAACAUAUGGUGGUUGUCCAUUUUUGCAAUUGCAUUGGUUUGAAAAAACUGCUCAAUCCACAUCUCCGAGUGGUUGGCACUUGUAACAGGCUAAUCUGCCUUGUGGAUGAUAUCUCUGCUUAUGGUUACAACUUCUUUAUAUGGAACCCAACCAUUACAACUUCUUUGGACGCAUGGUGCAUACAAUGCUUCUAUUGGAGUAGAGAAAUACUAACGUGACUUACAAGGAUCAACAAUAUGAGUUCCCUUGAUACUGGAUUAUGAAAAAUGCACCCGUCAUCUGACUUGUAAAAGCACAAUAAAAGCGGGCAUAAGUUUCCAUAAGAAAUUAAACAAAAGAGACUUUCUUGUUGGUUGCCCAAAACAGUGGAGAUCCAUACUCAAGUGGGAUGUCAUUGAAGAAAUAUAUUUGCUUGAAUGCAUGUGCAAUGUGAAGAACAUUUAUGUCUUUGGGUGUUUUCUUAUAAAGAACAUAUGG
Molecule: long non-coding RNA, 977 nt
Organism: Prunus persica (peach)
Lineage: Eukaryota; Viridiplantae; Streptophyta; Magnoliopsida; Rosales; Rosaceae
Exons: 3
Source: RefSeq, a predicted model, not a curated record